This 442-nucleotide ribosomal RNA is filed under the name uncultured bacterium. RNAcentral's name for it is "partial 16S ribosomal RNA". It matches the Rfam family "Bacterial small subunit ribosomal RNA", at positions 338 to 795 of the family's 1533-position model. The record is from RNAcentral.
CCUACGGGAGGCAGCAGUGGGGAAUAUUGGGCAAUGGGCGCAAGCCUGACCCAGCAACGCCGCGUGAAGGAAGAAGGUUUUCGGGUUGUAAACUUCUUUUAAGAGGGAAGAGCAGAAGACGGUACCUCUUGAAUAAGCCAUGGCUAACUACGUGCCAGCAGCCGCGGGAAUACGUGGGUGGCAAGCGUUGUCCGGAUUUACUGGGGGUAAAGGGGGGGUAGCCGGGCUGACAAGUCAGAUGUGAAAUUCCGGGGCUCAACCCUGUACCUGCACUUGAAACUGUUGGUCUUGAGUAUCGGAGAGGCAGGCGGAAUUCCUCGUGUAGCGGUGAAAUGCGUAGAUAUUAGGAGGAACACCAGUGGCGAAGGCGGCCUGCUGGACGACAACUGACGGUGAGGCGCGAAAGCGUGGGGAGCGAACAGGAUUAGAUACCCCAGUAGUC